Molecule: ribosomal RNA, 252 nt
Filed under: uncultured bacterium
Lineage: Bacteria
Description: partial 16S ribosomal RNA
Rfam family: Bacterial small subunit ribosomal RNA
Source: RNAcentral
UACAGAGGUCUAAGCGUUGUUCGGAUUCCUUGGGCGUAAAGGGUGCGUAGGUGGUGAUGCAAGUCUGGUGUGAAAUCUCGGAGCUUAACUCCGAAAUUGCACCGGAUACUGCGUUGCUCGAGGACUGUAGAGGAGAUCGGAAUUCACGGUGUAGCAGUGAAAUGCGUAGAUAUCGUGAGGAAGACCAGUUGCGAAGGCGGAUCUCUGGGCAGUUCCUGACACUGAGGCACGAAGGCCAGGGGAGCAAACGGG